This 374-nucleotide ribosomal RNA is filed under the name uncultured eukaryote. Its description in RNAcentral is "partial 18S ribosomal RNA". It matches the Rfam family "Eukaryotic small subunit ribosomal RNA", at positions 592 to 975 of the family's 1831-position model. The record is from RNAcentral.
CAAUAGCGUAUAUUUAAGUUGUUGCAGUUAAAAAGCUCGUAGUUGGAUUUCGGUUAAGAGCGACCGGUCCGCCGUUUGGUGUGCACUGGUUGGUUUUAACUUCCUGUAGAGGACGUGCUCUGGGUUUAACGACCUGGACUCGGAGUCUACGUGGUUACUUUGAAAAAAUUAGAGUGUUCAAAGCGGGCUUACGCUUGAAUAUUUCAGCAUGGAAUAACACUAUAGGACUCCUGUCCUAUUUCGUUGGUCUCGGGACGGGAGUAAUGAUUAAGAGGAACAGUUGGGGGCAUUCGUAUUUCAUUGUCAGAGGUGAAAUUCUUGGAUUUAUGAAAGACGAACUUCUGCGAAAGCAUUUGCCAAGGAUGUUUNCAUUA